UUAAGUUCAGCGGGUAGUCCUACCUGAUUUGAGGCCAGAUGUAUAAAAAACGUCUUCAAAAGAAGAACAGGGUUAGAAAGCAGACGGUAGUCAAGUGGAUGGCCAUCUUGCGAUGUCCUCAGCGAAAUACUUAUUACGCCAAGUCAAACCAGUCCUCAAGACAAGUCCAGCUAAUCAAUUUAAGGUGAGCCAUCAAUGAA
RNAcentral lists this unclassified non-coding RNA (200 nucleotides) under Cryptococcus sp. (in: basidiomycete fungi). RNAcentral describes it as "Cryptococcus sp. partial internal transcribed spacer 2". Lineage: Eukaryota; Fungi; Basidiomycota; Tremellomycetes; Tremellales; Cryptococcaceae. The record is from RNAcentral.